AAAGCUCAAAUUUAAAAUCUGGUAGUCUUUGGCUGCCCGAGUUGUAAUCUAGAGAAGCGUUAUCCGCGCUGGACCGUGUAUAAGUCUCCUGGAAUGGAGCGUCAUAGAGGGUGAGAAUCCCGUCUUUGACACGGACUACCGGGGCAUUGUGAUGCGCUCUCAAAGAGUCGAGUUGUUUGGGAAUGCAGCUCUAAAUGGGUGGUAAGUUCCAUCUAAAGCUAAAUACAGGCGAGAGACCGAUAGCGAA
RNAcentral lists this ribosomal RNA (247 nucleotides) under Entoloma sp. 3 CRJH-2017. RNAcentral describes it as "partial 28S ribosomal RNA". It matches the Rfam family "Eukaryotic large subunit ribosomal RNA", at positions 104 to 344 of the family's 3401-position model. The record is from RNAcentral. Lineage: Eukaryota; Fungi; Basidiomycota; Agaricomycetes; Agaricales; Entolomataceae.